UAGGGAAUAUUGCAAAAUGGGCGAAAGCCCGAUGCAGCAACGCCGCGUGGGCGAUGAAGGCCUUCGGGUCGUAAAGCCCUUUUUGAGGGGAUGAGGAAGGACAGUACCCUCAGAAUAAGCCUCGGCUAACUACGUGCCAGCAGCCGCGGGAAAACGUAGGAGGCGAGCGUUAUCCGGAUUUACUGGGCGUAAAGCGCGUGCAGGCGGAUUGGAGAGUUGGAUGUGAAAGCUCCCGGCUUAACUGGGAGAGGUCGUUCAAUACUUCCAGUCUUGAGUGCAGUAGAGGGCAGUGGAAUUCCGGGUGUAGUGGUGAAAUGCGUAGAUAUCCGGAGGAACACCAGUGGCGAAAGCGGCUUCCUGGACUGUAACUGACGCUCAGACGCGAAAGCUAGGGUAGCAAACG
This 403-nucleotide ribosomal RNA is filed under the name uncultured bacterium. Its description in RNAcentral is "bacterial SSU rRNA". It matches the Rfam family "Bacterial small subunit ribosomal RNA", at positions 355 to 774 of the family's 1533-position model. The record is from RNAcentral.